AACGAACGCUGGCGGCAUGCCUAACACAUGCAAGUCGAACGAGACCUUCGGGUCUAGUGGCGCACGGGUGCGUCACGCGUGGGAACCUGCCCUUAGGUUCGGACUAACUCCCCGAAAGGGGUGAUAAUACCGGAUAAUGUCUUCGGACCAAAGAUUUAUCGACUUUGGAUGGGCCCGCGUUGGAUUAGCUCGUUGGUAGGGUAAAAGCCUACCAAGGCGACAAUCCAUAGCUGGUCUGAGAGGAUGAUCAGCCACACUGGGACUGAGACACGGCCCAGACUCCUACGGGAGGCAGCAGAGGGGAAUAGUGGACAGUGGGCGAAAGCCUGAUCCAGCAAGGCCGCGUGAGUGAUGAAGGCCUUAGGGUUGUAAAGCGCUUUUACCCGGGAUGAUAAUGACAGUACCGGGAGAAUAAGCUCCGGCUAACUCCGUG
RNAcentral lists this ribosomal RNA (433 nucleotides) under uncultured bacterium. RNAcentral's name for it is "partial 16S ribosomal RNA". It matches the Rfam family "Bacterial small subunit ribosomal RNA", at positions 29 to 507 of the family's 1533-position model. The record is from RNAcentral.